GGGUCUGCGUCUGAUUAGCUUGUUGGUGAGGUAAUGGCUCACCAAGGCUACGAUCAGUAGCUGGUCUGAGAGGAUGAUCAGUCACAUUGGGACUGAGAUACGGCCCAGACUCCUACGGGAGGCAGUAGUGGGGAAUUUUGCGCAAUGGGCGAAAGCCUGACGCAGCAACGCCGCGUGACCGAUGAAGCAUUUAGGUGUGUAAAGGUCUGUCGUUAGGGAAGUGACGGUACCUGACAAGAAAGCUCCGGCUAACUCCGUGCCAGCAGCCGCGGUAAUACGGGGGGAGCAAGCGUUAUCCGGAAUUACUGGGCGUAAAGGGCACGUAGGCGGGCUCUUAAGUCAGAUUUUAAAUCCAACAGCUUAACUGUUGAUAUGGAUCUGAAACUGGGAGUCUUGAAUGCAAGAGAGGAAAGCGGAAUUCCUGGUGUAGCGGUGAAAUGCGUAGAU
This 447-nucleotide ribosomal RNA is filed under the name uncultured bacterium. RNAcentral's name for it is "bacterial SSU rRNA". It matches the Rfam family "Bacterial small subunit ribosomal RNA", at positions 227 to 695 of the family's 1533-position model. The record is from RNAcentral.